RNAcentral lists this ribosomal RNA (253 nucleotides) under uncultured bacterium. Its description in RNAcentral is "partial 16S ribosomal RNA". It matches the Rfam family "Bacterial small subunit ribosomal RNA", at positions 524 to 776 of the family's 1533-position model. The record is from RNAcentral.
UACGAAGGGGGCGAGCGUUGUUCGGAUUUACUGGGCGUAAAGGGCGCGCAGGCGGCGAUUUUUGUCGAGUGUGAAAGCCCCGGGCUUAACCUGGGAACUGCGCUCGAAACGGGAUUGCUAGAGAUCGGGAGAGGAGAGUGGAAUUCCCAGUGUAGAGGUGAAAUUCGUAGAUAUUGGGAAGAACACCGGUGGCGAAGGCGGCUCUCUGGACCGACACUGACGCUGAGGCGCGAAAGCUAGGGGAGCAAACGGG